Falco peregrinus (peregrine falcon) is the source of this 753-nucleotide long non-coding RNA. RefSeq lists it as uncharacterized. Lineage: Eukaryota; Metazoa; Chordata; Aves; Falconiformes; Falconidae. The transcript is spliced from 3 exons. The record is from RefSeq and is a predicted model, not a curated record.
CUGUCCAUGGGGAGACUGGGCUGCCAAGGUCGACUGUGUGUCGGAAACGUUGCCGGCCAGCCCAAGGCACUCCCAAACUGCAGCAGCCGGCUGCAGAGCCCAGGCACUGGCUUGAGGAGCAGAGCGCCUGUUGCCAGAGGAAAUAACCUGCAAUAAAAAGCUGGUGGGCUCCCAGCCGGGGAUACCCAGUCCGUGACUGCUACGUGGUGAACUGUGCCGGAGCGAUGCAACUGGUGGCGUUUGGCUCCGAUGUGCCACUGUGAGAGCCCAGGCUCUGCCCCUGUGCCUGACACACCCUCUCCGCUUAGGUGCCAGCAGCAGAGCCAGUGCCCUGGUGCCCAUGUUGAUAACACAGGCAGACGAGGCUGGACCCAGCAGAGACGGGAAAGAACAGCAAGUCCGACAGCGGUUCAGCUGUUAACAGUUUGCCUCCAGCUGCAUCCACCUGGCAAAAUACUCCGGCUGCAAGCUCACGCAAGCUUCGCUGGAGAGGAGGGGAACUGAUGCGCCGAAGUCAGCUCUGGUAAUACAGGAUGGAAGCUGUGUCGGGAGAAAUUCACAGUUCUGAAUGCUGAAGACUUCAGAGGUGAACGACUGCCUCCCGGAGCACCCCCCAACUGUCCCAAAGGAGCAUCCAUGAGAAAGCCAAGCAGUGAGCUGUUGUGCAGUUCAGCAGACAGACACCCCCCCUACACUUUCCAGCGUUUCCAGAUUUGACCUGCUAACCUUUCAAAAUACAGUCUAAACAUCUGA